UGUGUUUUGUGUGCUCUGUGCUCCGUCUUGGAGCACACGGGGUCCCAGAGCGGACUGGGUGGAAAAGGACCUUAAAGGCCGCCUGGUUCCGACCGCGAGCAGGCGCGUGUUAAAAUUUAGAACCACAGCGUGCGGAGCCUGCCAUUCAUCCCUCGGCGGUGGUUAACUGAGCCCCGCACGGCGGUUCCAACGCGCUGGCGAAUCGCGAUAGUAAAACAGCGAGUGGAGCGUGAUAUCAAAGAAUAAGGCAGCAGUUCCCUCUGCAAUGCUUUCCACACUACUGUUAAUUUACUGGAAGGGAGCGAAUAUGGAGCAGGGAGAUAGGUUUGUCUUUCCCUCCCACAUACACAGAGCUCCUGCAUAACCAAAAAGCCUUCACUCCUGCAGACAGCCCAGGACUCCCUGUUGGACUGGACUCCAUCCCGGGGCUGCAGUGAAGGCGAUGCAGUGCAGGAUUGCUUGAAUUCAGCUGGGCAGUUUGCACGAGGCACAAACCAGAUCAGGGAGGGACACAGCUCAUCCCUCCUCCUGAGAGACCUGCAGAAAUGCUCUGGAAAAGCAAUAAAGCCUGGAGCUGAACAAGCUUGGACAAGUUGGGAGAUUCCUGACGUUAGGGGUGGCUUGAGAUGGUGUCCCGUUGUUAAGCUCUGCUGGAGCUGCCCCAGCAGGAAGCAGGGACACGAGGGCACAGAACAUGCGCUUCUCAUGCAGGCCUUUGGAGACCUCCAGGUCUAGACAGGCUAAGGAGAAAAUCUGCAAAUCCUGAGUCAUUUAAAGAGGUUGUCCAGAGUGAAGUGCUGUGUCCAGGCACUUGACUCUGCUGCUAUUACAGCACAUAAAAAUGCGAAGGGGGUGACAAACUGCCUGAGCCAAAGCCCAGCUGACAUGGAGCACGUCGCACUGGGAGAAGUGGCAGCUGACAGUCCAGGAGAGCUUAAACUCCCGGACACCUGGUAGUGCACCAAGCACCAGGGAAGGGCCCGUGCUGCCACGUAGCUCCUGUGUCACUGCGGCAGGCGCAGCCAGCCCGAGGCCUUGUUAUGUAAAAGAUAUGGUUACCCUCAACCCUGCUCACAGUCCGCUUCUCCAGAUCACCCGGGGCCACGCCGGAAUGAUAAUUGGACUGGGCCACAAGUAAUUGGCAAGAACACUUAAUAGUCUAAUUUAUUCACUGAGAGGGAGACCAUCAAAGGUACAAAGUCAGUUGGGAGCCUAAAUUCCAUUUGGGAAAAAAAGAGAAAAGAAAAAAAGAAAAGGGGGGAAAAGAACAACUCCCUAUCUACAGUAUCUCACAGUAAACGUGCAAUACUGCUGUCCUCCAACAUCAACUGCCAUUAGUGGGACACCCACAAAACACGCUCUGCGUAAUUUGUCUGGCUCGUCUGAGGGCCCAGUCACCGCCCAGUGCAGCAGGCAGUGGUACCCUCUCAGCUGGAGCAGGACCCAGCCUCCAAGUCUUUUCAAGUGCAUUUCCCACACCACCAAAGGGUGUUGCCAGUUCUGAUGGGAGAGUUUGCAGAAGCAAGUAGAGCGCAACCAAUUUGCAGCAAAACCAGUCACAAACACCCUCUUAAAGCCCAAGCAUCUGGGGAGAUGGUGAGCUUUUGGGGCUGGGGGAGAUUAUCUUGGGGGCAAGAAGGAUUAAGAGAGUUUGGCAGCUGGUCAGAGCACUGGCAUUUAGCAGAGGGGCUAGUGAGGUUUUGCAAGAGGGGUGGGGAGGAGGAGGAGGAAGGUUUUUCUGGGUCAGCUGCAUGGAAAAGGCAUGCAGCCUUUUUUCCUCAAUGUAGUGAAGCAGCCCUCUGCAGCCACAUACUUUGUUAGUCCUGAUUUGCAAAGACAUCUUCACGUAACCAUAAACACUACAGAUGGGAAUCUGCUUCUAGGUCAACCCAGUCCAUCCACAGUGCCACAGUAUUUCCCAGAACACCAUUUUCAAGUGACUACAGACUUAAAUUUGAUGGGAGGUUUAAUCCCAGGGUUCAGGAAAGAAUACCACUAUUGCUUAGCUGUUUAAUCUGCUAACACGAAGAGCUACGGUCAACCUCUACAGAACAUCCCUGGAGACAAAGGAUGAACAUGAUCCUUAUUAGCCGCACUAAACUGCAAACACUAUGUCCAUUAAAAAAACCAUCAAAACAUACAGCAGUCCCACAGAGUAUUUACAUUCUCCAGUAAUAACUUGUAAUGCACUAAUAACAUAGAGGUACUUUUUAAUAUAUAGCUAUAAAACUAAGCUCAGGAAGUUGGACUUCAUCACACAGUAUUACAACCUCCGACUUGUCAUAGCACCCAGGUGAGGUGUUCACAGCCCCAUCCGAACUGCCUGCAGCUGCACGUAGCAGCAGGAUCCCUGCACAACUUUUGAUGGAUACAAACAAACCAGCAACUGGUGUCUCAACAGGAGCAGCGCGGGCUACACUGUGAUUUCAAGAAAGCCAAGUCAGGUCCUGCUGCAACUCAGAUCAAAUGACACUUUAUCGGAUACAGUGUAAGCCGCUGUCAUCCUGGUACUCACCCUAAAAGGCUGGUCCGGUAUAAAUGGAAAGUAAGGAAUAGACGACUGCUCUUCCCCCCAUUCUCCGGCUACACAAGAGUUUCUGACAAACUGUCUGUCUGUAAACACAGCUUUCAGUUCUAUGGCUACAUCCGCAGGAGGAUCUUCUGACUCCCCGCAAGUCAGACUGAUGCCAAAGCUGCAACACAAACAGAACGGCUCUCGUUCAGCCAGAAAAAAACCAAAUAAGCCCCAAAUGCCGCCCAGGUUCAUUUCUCAGCUUAUCAAAGCCAUUGGUAUAGUGGCACAGGGGGGAUGACAGCUCAGCUAGUUCAGAGAAACCCUGAAAGCUCAGCAGUGACAGGAACAUGGUUAUGGCAUAUAUAUAUGUCUGUGUGUGCAUGGUGUUGUACAUAUAUGUGUACAUAUAUGCAUAUAUAUAUAUGCUUUAUAUGCUCCUUUACUCCCAAGUGAAAACGGGAUCCCUUGAAGAAAUGCCCCCUCUAUGGGUCAAAGGAGAAAUCAGCAUGCUAUAUUUAAAAUGAUAAAAAUAAUCCUUUCCAGAAAGCAGGGAUCCGUGUGUAUGUGUACGUGCGUGUGGCCGCUCCCCCAUCUCCCCCUGGCCGGGCCCAGGUGUUACCUCUCGGGGUUGAGGUCCACUAUGCCCAUAACUAAGAUCUUCUUUCCCGGCCUCAUUCCUCCUUUGAUGUGCCCACAGAAGGGGACGAUCUGGAAAGGACAGGGGGAAGGUGGCGAGGGUCAGCUCGGCAUCAGCAGCGGCCGCCGUUUUGCAGCCGGGGCGGAGGAGAGGGGGAGAGUAAAGGGGUUAAAAAAAAUAAAAUACCGCCCACCUCCCCCCCCCCCCCAAAAGAAAGAAACCAAAUAAAGGUGGUUUACCAA
Molecule: long non-coding RNA, 3394 nt
Organism: Pseudopipra pipra
Lineage: Eukaryota; Metazoa; Chordata; Aves; Passeriformes; Pipridae
Exons: 2
Source: RefSeq, a predicted model, not a curated record